UCCCUAGUAGCUCAGAUGGUAAAGCAUCUGCCUACAAUGCAGCAGACCCAGGUUCAAUCCCUUGGUCGGGAA
This 72-nucleotide transfer RNA is filed under the name Bos taurus (domestic cattle). It matches the Rfam family "tRNA". From Rfam's summary of the family: Transfer RNA (tRNA) molecules are approximately 80 nucleotides in length. Their secondary structure includes four short double-helical elements and three loops (D, anti-codon, and T loops). RNAcentral also lists the same sequence under 4 other names. The record is from Rfam by way of RNAcentral. Lineage: Eukaryota; Metazoa; Chordata; Mammalia; Artiodactyla; Bovidae.